CCUACGGGAGGCAGCAGUGAGGAAUAUUGGUCAAUGGGCGAGAGCCUGAACCAGCCAAGUCGCGUGAGGGAGUACUGCCCUAUGGGUUGUAAACUUCUUUUAUAAAGGAAUAAAACGAGGCACGUGUGCCUUUUUGCAUGUACUUUAUGAAUAAGGAUCGGCUAACUCCGUGCCAGCAGCCGCGGUAAUACGGAGGAUCCGAGCGUUAUCCGGAUUUAUUGGGUUUAAAGGGAGCGUAGAUGGGUUGUUAAGUCAGUUGUGAAAGUUUGCGGCUCAACCGUAAAAUUGCAAUUGAUACUGGCAGGCUUGAGUACAGUUGAGGUAGGCGGAAUUCGUGGUGUAGCGGUGAAAUGCUUAGAUAUCACGAAGAACCCCGAUUGCGAAGGCAGCUUACUAAACUGUGACUGACAUUGAUGCUCGAAAGUGUGGGUAUCAAACAGGAUUAGAUACCCGAGUAGUC
RNAcentral lists this ribosomal RNA (460 nucleotides) under uncultured bacterium. Its description in RNAcentral is "partial 16S ribosomal RNA". It matches the Rfam family "Bacterial small subunit ribosomal RNA", at positions 338 to 795 of the family's 1533-position model. The record is from RNAcentral.